Molecule: ribosomal RNA, 617 nt
Filed under: uncultured bacterium
Lineage: Bacteria
Description: bacterial SSU rRNA
Rfam family: Bacterial small subunit ribosomal RNA
Source: RNAcentral
AGAGUUUGAUCCUGGCUCAGGAUGAACGCUGGCGGCGUGCCUAAUACAUGCAAGUCGAACGCACAGCGAAAAGUGCUUGCACCUUUCAAGUGAGUGGCGAACGGGUGAGUAACACGUGGACAACCUGCCUCAAGGCUGGGGAUAACAUUUGGAAACAGAUGCUAAUACCGAAUAAAACUCAGUGUCGCAUGACACAAAGUUAAAAGGCGCUUUGGCGUCACCUAGAGAUGGAUCCGCGGUGCAUUAGUUAGUUGGUGGGGUAAAGGCCUACCAAGACAAUGAUGCAUAGCCGAGUUGAGAGACUGAUCGGCCACAUUGGGACUGAGACACGGCCCAAACUCCUACGGGAGGCUGCAGUAGGGAAUCUUCCACAAUGGGCGAAAGCCUGAUGGAGCAACGCCGCGUGUGUGAUGAAGGCUUUCGGGUCGUAAAGCACUGUUGUAUGGGAAGAACAGCUAGAAUAGGGAAUGAUUUUAGUUUGACGGUACCAUACCAGAAAGGGACGGCUAAAUACGUGCCAGCAGCCGCGGUAACACGUAUGUCCCGAGCGUUAUCCGGAUUUAUUGGGCGUAAAGCGAGCGCAGACGGUUGAUUAAGUCUGAUGUGAAAGCCCGGAG